This 103-nucleotide ribosomal RNA is filed under the name uncultured bacterium. RNAcentral's name for it is "partial 16S ribosomal RNA". It matches the Rfam family "Bacterial small subunit ribosomal RNA", at positions 408 to 508 of the family's 1533-position model. The record is from RNAcentral.
AUGAAGGCCCUCUGGGUUGUAAACUUCUUUUAUUUGGGAAGAAACCCAUUUUUUCUAAGAUGGUUGACGGUACCAGAUGAAUAAGCACCGGCUAACUCCGUGC